This 72-nucleotide transfer RNA is filed under the name Pseudocercospora pini-densiflorae CBS 125139. Its description in RNAcentral is "tRNA-Met (CAT) (tRNA-Met-CAT-2-1)". It matches the Rfam family "tRNA". From Rfam's summary of the family: Transfer RNA (tRNA) molecules are approximately 80 nucleotides in length. Their secondary structure includes four short double-helical elements and three loops (D, anti-codon, and T loops). Further hydrogen bonds mediate the characteristic L-shaped molecular structure. tRNAs have two regions of fundamental functional importance: the anti-codon, which is responsible for specific mRNA codon recognition, and the 3' end, to which the tRNAs corresponding amino acid is attached (by aminoacyl-tRNA synthetases). tRNAs cope with the degeneracy of the genetic code in two manners: having more than one tRNA (with a specific anti-codon) for a particular amino acid; and 'wobble' base-pairing, i.e. permitting non-standard base-pairing at the 3rd anti-codon position. Lineage: Eukaryota; Fungi; Ascomycota; Dothideomycetes; Mycosphaerellales; Mycosphaerellaceae. The record is from RNAcentral.
AGCUUCAUAGUUCAGUGGCCAGAACACAAGGCUCAUGACCUUGCAACCCAUGUUCGAUUCAUAGUGAAGCUA